UGGGGAAUAUUGGACAAUGGGCGCNCGNCUGAUCCAGCCAUACCGCGUGGGUGAAGAAGGCCUUCGGGUUGUAAAGCCCUUUUGUUGGGAAAGAAAAGCAGUCGAUUAAUACUCGGUUGUUCUGACGGUACCCAAAGAAUAAGCACCGGCUAACUUCGUGCCAGCAGCCGCGGUAAUACGAAGGGUGCAAGCGUUACUCGGAAUUACUGGGCGUAAAGCGUGCGUAGGUGGUUGUUUAAGUCUGUUGUGAAAGCCCUGGGCUCAACCUGGGAAUUGCAGUGGAUACUGGGCGACUAGGGUGUGGUAGAGGGUAGUGGAAUUCCCGGUGUAGCAGUGAAAUGCGUAGAGAUCGGGAGAAACAUCCAUGGCGAAGGCAGCUACCUGGACCAACACUGACACUGAGGCACGAAAGCGUGGGGAGCAAACAGGAUUAGAUACCCUGGUAGUCCACGCCCUAAACGAUGCGAACUGGAUGUUGGGUGCAAUUUGGCACGCAGUAUCGAAGCUAACGCGUUAAGUUCGCCGCCUGGGGAGUACGGUCGCAAGACUG
Molecule: ribosomal RNA, 550 nt
Filed under: uncultured bacterium
Lineage: Bacteria
Description: bacterial SSU rRNA
Rfam family: Bacterial small subunit ribosomal RNA
Source: RNAcentral